This is a non-coding RNA of Vicia faba (fava bean), 228 nucleotides long. NCBI's taxonomy places the organism in Eukaryota, Viridiplantae, Streptophyta, Magnoliopsida, Fabales, Fabaceae. The record is from the annotation of a GenBank genome assembly.
AUGCGCGAAUCAGGCCCAAGUCUGGGUUUAAGAAAAAAGGGGCAUUCGUAUCAAAUUCACAAUAUGGCUUUAUUGGAUCUUAAACCGUUACUGUGCGAAUCAAGCGUGAGAAGAAUCUGUUAUUCGAAAUCAUCACAGGAUACUGACUUUUCAUCCCUUUUCCAGAAUCGUGAUGAAUAUGGAAACAAAUCAAUUGCAAGAACAAAAAAUAUGGCAUUAAUCAACUAA